RNAcentral lists this long non-coding RNA (316 nucleotides) under Vigna radiata. RNAcentral's name for it is "long non-coding RNA (VRAD_LNC013241)". Lineage: Eukaryota; Viridiplantae; Streptophyta; Magnoliopsida; Fabales; Fabaceae. The record is from RNAcentral.
CUUACUUAUAUGUGAUGUAAAGGUUCAAGUUUGGGGUUGCAUGGGGGAAAUUGAAAGGCAAUUGAAAAGCAUUGAGCUCAAAAGUUGUGAAAGAAAAAUACAUGAGAAAAAGAAAAGAUAAGAAGAAAAAGCAUGAAGAUGGGCUCAAUGCAAAAGAAAAAAAAAAGUUGGGAAUGAGUGAGAUUGGUGAGGAAGAGAGUUGUGCUUAAAUGUUGAAUACUAUGAUAGCUCUCUUAACUCAAGGACUUUGCUUUCCAGAAAAACCAAUUCUUCUUGUCAGCCCAGCCUCAUUACAAGCCUUGGAAAAGUCCUUUUG